UUGGAGGGCAAGUCUGGUGCCAGCAGCCGCGGUAAUUCCAGCUCCAAUAGCGUAUAUUAAAGUUGUUGCAGUUAAAAAGCUCGUAGUUGAAUUUCGGGAUCAGUAGGUUGGUCAUGCCUAUGGUAUGUACUGGCUUUACUGGUUCCUCCUUCUUGAUGAUCUGUAAUGUCAUUAAUUUGGUGUUGCAGGGAGUCAGGACUGUUACUUUGAAAAAAUUAGAGUGUUUAAAGCAGGCAUACGCUUGAAUACAUUAGCAUGGAAUAAUGAAAUAGGACGUUCGAACCUAUUUUGUUGGUUUCUAGGAUUGACGUAAUGAUUAAUAGGGAUAGUUGGGGGCAUUAGUAUUCAAUUGUCAGAGGUGAAAUUCUUGGAUUUAUUGAAGACUAACUACUGCGAAAGCAUUUGCCAAGGAUGUUUUCAUUAAUCAAGAACGAAAGUUAGGGGAUCGAAGACGAUCAGAUACCGUCGUAGUCUUAACCAUAAACUAUGCCGACUAGGGAUCGGAUGAUGUUAUUUUUAAUGACUCAUUCGGCGCCUUACGGGAAAC
RNAcentral lists this ribosomal RNA (547 nucleotides) under uncultured Glomus. Its description in RNAcentral is "SSU rRNA". It matches the Rfam family "Eukaryotic small subunit ribosomal RNA", at positions 548 to 1098 of the family's 1831-position model. The record is from RNAcentral. Lineage: Eukaryota; Fungi; Glomeromycota; Glomeromycetes; Glomerales; Glomeraceae.